RNAcentral lists this ribosomal RNA (228 nucleotides) under uncultured Leptotrichia sp. RNAcentral's name for it is "partial 16S ribosomal RNA". It matches the Rfam family "Bacterial small subunit ribosomal RNA", at positions 110 to 339 of the family's 1533-position model. The record is from RNAcentral. Lineage: Bacteria; Fusobacteriati; Fusobacteriota; Fusobacteriia; Fusobacteriales; Leptotrichiaceae.
GUAACGCGUAAGGAACUUGCCCUGCAGACAGGGAUAACAGACGGAAACGACUGACAAGACCUGAUACAGUUGCCGGCACGCAUGUGCCUGGCGAUGAAAGGAGACGCUGCAGGAGAGCCUUGCGUCCUAUUAGCUUGUUGGCGGGGUAAUGGCCCACCAAGGCGAUGAUAGGUAGCCGGCCUGAGAGGGUGGACGGCCACAAGGGGACUGAGAUACGGCCCUUACUCC